RNAcentral lists this ribosomal RNA (510 nucleotides) under uncultured bacterium. Its description in RNAcentral is "partial 16S ribosomal RNA". It matches the Rfam family "Bacterial small subunit ribosomal RNA", at positions 28 to 507 of the family's 1533-position model. The record is from RNAcentral.
GACGAACGCUGGCGGCGUGCUUAACACAUGCAAGUCGAACGAAGAGCGAUGGAAGCUUGCUUCUAUCAAUCUUAGUGGCGAACGGGUGAGUAACGCGUAAUCAACCUGCCCUUCAGAGGGGGACAACAGUUGGAAACGACUGCUAAUACCGCAUACGAUCUAAUCUCGGCAUCGAGGAUAGAUGAAAGGUGGCCUCUACAUGUAAGCUAUCACUGAAGGAGGGGAUUGCGUCUGAUUAGCUAGUUGGAGGGGUAACGGCCCACCAAGGCGAGGAUCAGUAGCCGGUCUGAGAGGAUGAACGGCCACAUUGGGACUGAGACACGGCCCAGACUCCUACGGGAGGCAGCAGUGGGGAAACUUCCGCAAUGGACGAAAGUCUGACGGAGCAACGCCGCGUGAGCGAUGACGGCCUUCGGGUUGUAAAGCUCUGUUAAUCGGGACGAAAGGCCUUCUUGCGAAUAGUGAGAAGGAUUGACGGUACCGGAAUAGAAAGCCACGGCUAACUACGUG